Molecule: ribosomal RNA, 254 nt
Filed under: uncultured bacterium
Lineage: Bacteria
Description: partial 16S ribosomal RNA
Rfam family: Bacterial small subunit ribosomal RNA
Source: RNAcentral
CACGUAGGGGGCGAGCGUUGUCCGGAUUUAUUGGGCGUAAAGAGCUCGUAGGCGGUUUCGUAAGUCGGAUGUGAAAACUCCAGGCUCAACUUGGAGACGCCAUUCGAUACUGCGAUGACUUGAGUCCGGUAGGGGAGUGUGGAAUUCCUGGUGUAGCGGUGAAAUGCGCAGAUAUCAGGAGGAACACCGGUGGCGAAGGCGGGACUCUGGGCCGAUACUGACGCUGAGGAGCGAAAGCUAGGGGAGCAAACGGG